Chrysemys picta bellii (western painted turtle) is the source of this 2736-nucleotide long non-coding RNA. The record is from Ensembl. Lineage: Eukaryota; Metazoa; Chordata; Testudines; Emydidae.
AUGCAGGAGGUGCGGACCCUCCUCACUGUAGGAGCAGUGGAAGAGGUCCCCCCCGGACCUAAGGGGGAAAGGAUUCUACUCCAGGUAUUUCCUGAUUCCCAAAGCAAAAGGGGGCCUCCGUCCCAUUUUGGACCUACGCGGACUAAACAAAUUUCUGGUCAAAACACAUUUCCGUAUGGUCUCCCUUGGAGCUAUUAUCCCAUCCCUGGAUCCGGGGGAUUGGUAUGCUGCCCUCGAUAUGAAAGAUGCGUAUUUUCACAUCGCCAUCCACCCGGCCCACCGGCGGUUCCUUCGCUUCACCAUCAACCAGCGCCAUUUUCAAUUUACGGUCCUGCCCUUCGGCCUGGCAGCGGCCCCACGAGUGUUCACAAAAUGCAUGUCCGUGGUGGCAGCUUUUCUUCGGAAGAGAAGGAUGCGCGUGUACCCGUACUUGGACGACUGGCUCCUCGCGGGCAGGUCGGAGGCAGAGGUCCGCUCCCACGUGACACUGGCUCUACAGGUGUUCUGCAAGCUUGGCCUACUGGUCAGUGUGCCCAAGUCCUCACUGAUCCCCACGCAGAGACUGGACUUCAUAGGAGCAGUCCUGGACUCGGUGGCAGCGCGGGCAAGUCUUCCAGUGUCACGGUUCUUGGCCAUUCAAAGGGUCGUAGGCUCCGUCCAACAAUUUCCCACGACUACGGCCAGGUGCUGCAUGUAACUCUUGGGGCACAUGGCGGCCUGCACACAUGUAGUCAAACAUGCCCACCUAAGACUCAGGCCAUUGCAGUUGUGGCUAGCCCAAACGUAUCGCCCCAACAGAGACCCUUUAGACCUGGUGGUGACAAUCCUGGCUCGGGUGUUGAACUCCCUCCGCUGGUGGAUCGAUCAGCAGCAGGUUUGCGAGGGGAUCCCCUUCGCUGCCCCACAACCCACUCUGACGUUAGUAACAGAUGCAUCGGACCUGGGUUGGGGGGCGCACCUGGGGGACCUGUGGACCCAGGACUUGUGGUCCAGGGAAGAAAAGUUGCUUCACAUCAAUCUGAAGGAGCUAAAGGCGGUUCGCCUCGCCUGUCAGAUCUUUCACGCCACCAUAGAAGGCCACAGCGUGUCAGUUCUGAUGGACAACACUACCGCCAUGUUCUACAUAAACAAGCAGGGCGGGUCCCGAUCCUCUCCCCUCUGUCACGAGGCGCUCCGCCUAUGGGACUUCUGUAUAGCCCAUUCCAUCCACCUUAUCGCAACAUAUCUCCCAGGGGUCCAAAACGGGUUAGCAGACCGCCUCAGCCCGUCCUACCACAUGCACGAAUGGGCGUUGAGACGGGACAUCCUGCAUUCAAUCUUCCAGAGGUGGGGGUUUCCCCUGGUGGAUCUCUUCGCCACCAAGGACAACAGCCAAUGCCCUCAGUUUUGUUCUUACCAGAACCUCAGCCCGGGCUCGUUGGCAGAUGCCUUCGCGAUCCCAUGGGGCGGGAGCCUGAGGUAUGCCUUCCCUCCAUUCCCACUCAUCCACAAGGUCCUCCUCAAAACCCACAGGGACAAGGCGGCAGUCAUCCUCAUCGCCCCGGCGUGGCCACGCCAGCAUUGGUUCACGACCCUGCUGGAAUUGUCCAUAACCGCCCCGAUUGCCCUCCCCCUCCAUCGCGACCUCAUCACACAGGACCGGGGUCGCCUACUCCACCCGAACCUACCGUCGCUACAUCUCACGGCGUGGUAUCUCUCUGGCUAAGCGAUAUGGAGCAAAGGUGCUCUCACCAGGUCCAGCGAAUUCUCCUUGGUAGUAGGAAGCCUUCCACAAGAGCGACCUACCUUGCCAAAUGGAGGAGGUUCUCCCACUGGUGUGAGCCUCAUCACAUACAGUCUCUGUGGGCCUCGGUCCCAUCAAUUCUGGACUACUUGCUGGACCUCAAACGUCAAGGGCUUGCCCCCGCCUCAACUAAAGUGCAUCUGGCUGCCAUAUCGGCGUUCCAUCCUGGGGAGUUGGGAGUUUCGGUGUUCUCCAACCCCACAGUAGCACGAUUCCUCAAGGGACUGGAAAGGGUGUUUCCCUAUUCGCGCCCGCCGGUCCCUGCGUGGAAUCUCAACCUGGUCCUAACUAAACUCAUGGGGCCCCCCUUUGAACUCCUAGCCUCUUGCUCCCUCAUGCACCUUUCAUGGAAGGUAGCGUUUCUCGUGGCCAUCACAUCGGCCAGGAGGGUAUCGGAAUUGAGAGCCCUCACUUUGGAACCUCCUUAUACAGUUUUUCAUAAGGAUAAGGUGCAACUGAGGCCACAUCCUAAAUUCCUUCCAAAGGUGGUCACGCAUUUUCACAUGGGCCAAGACAUUUGUCUACCGGUGUUCUUCCCUAAGCCCCAUAUGGACCCAAGCCACCGCAGCCUGCAUACCCUCGAUGUCCGUAGGGCCUUAGCAUUUUAUCUAGAGCGGACCAGGCCAUUCCGCAAAUCAACUCAACUGUUUAUUGCCACUGCAGAGCGAAUGAGAGGCCUGCCUAUCUCAACGCAACGAUUGUCAGCAUGGAUUGUGCUUUGCAUACGCACGUGCUAUGAGCUCGCCAAUGUACCAGCCCCAGAGAUCCGGGCUCACUCGACUAGGGCCCAAGCAUCCUCAGCAGCUUUCUUGGCGCAGGUUCCACUUCAGGAAAUCUGUAAAGCGGCCACCUGGUCGUCGGUGCAUACGUUCAUAGCCCACUACGCGAUUCAUCAUCAGACCAGGGAGGACGCGGUGGUCGGCAGGGCUGUGCUUCAAUCGAUUGUUCCUUGA